AGAGUUUGAUCCUGGCUCAGGAUGAACGCUGGCGGCGUGCUUAACACAUGCAAGUCGAACGAACCCUUUCGGGGGUGAGUGGCGGACGGGUGCGUAACACGUAGGUGACCUGCCCUGAAGUGGGGAAUAAUUCCGCGAAAGCGGGACUAAUACCGCAUAUGCUCGCUGGUUCGGUCCGGCGAGUAAAGCCUUUGGGCGCUUUGGGAUGGGCCUGCGGCCGAUUAGCUCGUUGGUGGGGUAACGGCUCACCAAGGCUGUGAUCGGUAGGGGGCGUGAGAGCGUGGCCCCCCACAUUGGCACUGAGACACGGGCCAAACUCCUACGGGAGGCAGCAGUGAGGAAUAUUGCGCAAUGGGCGAAAGCCUGACGCAGCAACGCCGCGUGAGGGACGAAGGCCUUCGGGUCGUAAACCUCUUUUCUGAGGGACGAGCAAGGACGGUACCUCAGGAAUAAGUCUCGGCUAACUACGUGCCAGCAGCCGCGGUAAAACGUAGGAGGCGAGCGUUAUCCGGAUUUACUGGGCGUAAAGCGCACGCAGGCGGCUCGGCAAGUUGGACGUGAAAGCUCCCGGCUUAACUGGGAGAGGCCGUUCGAGACUACCGGGCUUGAGGUUGGGAGAGGGGUGUGGAAUUCCCGGUGUAGUGGUGGAAUGCGUAGAGAUCGGGAGGAACACCUGUGGCGAAAGCGGCACCCUGGCCCACACCUGACGCUGAGGUGCGAAAGCGUGGGGAGUAAACAGGAUUAGAUACCCUGGUAAUCCACGCCGUAAACGAUGUCAACUAGGUGUCGGUAGUGAUACACUAUCGGUGCCGAAGCCAACGCGUUAAGUUGACCGCCUGGGGACUACGGCCGCAAGGCUAAAACUCAAAGGAAUUGACGG
Molecule: ribosomal RNA, 880 nt
Filed under: uncultured bacterium
Lineage: Bacteria
Description: SSU rRNA
Rfam family: Bacterial small subunit ribosomal RNA
Source: RNAcentral